GUAGCAGAAGCUUGCUUCUCUUGAGAGCGGNGGGCGGGUGAGUAAAGCCUAGGAAUCUGCCUGGUAGUGGGGGAUAACGUUCGGAAACGGACGCUAAUACCGCAUACGUCCUACGGGAGAAAGCAGGGGACCUUCGGGCCUUGCGCUAUCAGAUGAGCCUAGGUCGGAUUAGCUAGUUGGUGAGGUAAUGGCUCACCAAGGCGACGAUCCGUAACUGGUCUGAGAGGAUGAUCAGUCACACUGGAACUGAGACACGGUCCAGACUCCUACGGGAGGCANCAGUGGGGAAUAUUGGACAAUGGGCGAAAGCCUGAUCCAGCCAUGCCGCGUGUGUGAAG
RNAcentral lists this ribosomal RNA (338 nucleotides) under uncultured Pseudomonas sp. RNAcentral describes it as "bacterial SSU rRNA". It matches the Rfam family "Bacterial small subunit ribosomal RNA", at positions 69 to 410 of the family's 1533-position model. The record is from RNAcentral. Lineage: Bacteria; Pseudomonadati; Pseudomonadota; Gammaproteobacteria; Pseudomonadales; Pseudomonadaceae.